Molecule: small nucleolar RNA, 78 nt
Filed under: Brassica napus (rape)
Lineage: Eukaryota; Viridiplantae; Streptophyta; Magnoliopsida; Brassicales; Brassicaceae
Description: snoRNA snoR117
Rfam family: small nucleolar RNA snoR117
Source: Rfam by way of RNAcentral
GGCCUGUGAUGUUUGAGAUUGUCCGUACCAUCUGAGAUUUCUCGUUGAUGAGUUUAAAUCCUCUAGGUUCUGAGGCUU